RNAcentral lists this ribosomal RNA (300 nucleotides) under Triticum aestivum (bread wheat). RNAcentral describes it as "partial small subunit ribosomal RNA". The record is from RNAcentral. Lineage: Eukaryota; Viridiplantae; Streptophyta; Magnoliopsida; Poales; Poaceae.
AUGGACCUGAAUAGCAUGUCAUUUCGUGCGGCUCAUAUCUUUCACAGAGAGGUUAGUAGAACCAAAGGCCACAUAUUGGCCAGCAUGUCACGUGGCAGUGUUGUGCCCCAUAGCUCAUCGACGUCCUCGGAUAUAGGUGAAAUACCCAAGCGUUGCCAAACUCUAUCAGCUAGAGGGCAUGAAAUGAAAGAGAUGCGAUGUGUCUUCACAUUGCUCAUGGCACCGAGGGCACACAUUCGCAGUGAUGAUGUGCUUGUGUGCGAGGUUGGCGCGGGUGUUGAGCCUGUUUCUGUAGAGUAG